GCAGCCAGCAUUGGUUGCGACCUGAUCAGGCUUGUCACUCAGGAGGGGUGCUUGUCACUUUCCACUGUGACACGCUAGGCAGCCAUGCAUAUACAGUCAGUACCUGCUUUAUCCUGAAAACUGAAUGGAUGACAAAUGCCUUUCCCCAGGCUACCUGUUUUGUAUUUAUGUACGUUCAUUGCAGUCUUCAAUUUUUUUGGCUAUAUUACUCAUAGGGAUAAUGAUACUCUCAGAGUUCUGGUGCUUUGAGCAGAAGGUGCAGGAGAAAGAUAGCAUGGAAAGAGAAAGAAAUCACAAUCUCUCUUGGAGCAACUUCUGCAUGAUGAAAAAAGAUAUGAUGGUGGUGAAUUUUAACCUGGUGAGGUGUGCCGGAGGGUUGAUAUGUGCAGUUUGUGGCUUGUGCUGCUGCACUUCCAGUAGGCAGCUGGGAUACUUGGUUGGACUGUUUGUGCACACAGAGAUCUGCAUUGCUCUGUCUUUGCUGGCAAGUGGGUGCUAAAUGAAAAGUUGUCCUGGACAUGCUUACUCAUAUUUGAGGAACAUCUGAUUUGCAAUGUAGAUACCUCCCACUACCUGGGAAAAUUUGCUCUCCUUUCACAUUGCUUAUCUCCAGGAGCAUGCUGGUACUGACUGACUUCUGCUUGGAAGGUGUAUCUCCUGUGAUUGGUAUAACUUGAUAACAAGAGCACAGUCAGAGCUUUCCCAAGGACUCCUUUGGUGCUGUGUGAAAAGUCUUCCAGGUUGUUGGCAGAAGUGCAUUUCUCUUCAUCAAAGAUAGAUAUAGAUGAGGAGUGCUGCUAUUGAUAGUCAUCCAAAACUCUUGAGAAAAAGCUUUGCUCAGUGUUUGUGACUGCCAGUGAAGUCUGUUCUUUAGUUGUAUACUGGAGAAGGAAGCUCUGGUAGCCUGGCUCAGCUAGCAGGCUUUCAAUUCAAGGACCAGUGCAGGCAGUCUGAUUCCUUGUGUUUGAACAUGAUGUGUGCAGGAUGUGGAUCGUAAAACAUUGAGAACAACAGGUGAAUCAUAAGAUCCUUUUGUCUGUUGAGCUUUCUGCACAAGGGAGUCGGUUUCUUAGAGAAUAGAUAGCUAUGCAGAAGGGCAAGGAAAAAUGGAGUACUUGAACCUGCAGAUGGCCUAUGUGAGAAAUGCAUCAAAGCUACCACUAUGAUCCCUAUAAAUAAUAAAUAAAAGGUUGAAUAAAA
Haemorhous mexicanus (house finch) is the source of this 1200-nucleotide long non-coding RNA. RefSeq lists it as uncharacterized. Lineage: Eukaryota; Metazoa; Chordata; Aves; Passeriformes; Fringillidae. The record is from RefSeq and is a predicted model, not a curated record. The transcript has 5 exons.